GAAAUGCGAUACCUGGUGUGAAUUGCAGAAUCCCGCGAACCAUCGAGUCCUUUGAACGCAAGUUGCGCCCGAGGCCUUCUGGCCACGCCAAACACGCUCCCACCCCACUAAACAUUGGGCGGGAUGCGGCAUGUGGCUCUCCGUCUCACAAGGGGCGGUGGGCCGAAGAUCCGGCUGCCGGCGUAUCGUGCCGGACACAGCGCUUGGUAGGCGAUCUCGCUAUACUAAAUGCAGUGCAUCCGGGACGUAGCGACGCAAUGCCCUCAAUGGACCCUAUUAACGGAGCGCACGACGUUUCGACCGCGACCCCAGGUCAGGCGGGACUACCCGCUGAAUUUAA
Molecule: ribosomal RNA, 340 nt
Filed under: Festuca roemeri
Lineage: Eukaryota; Viridiplantae; Streptophyta; Magnoliopsida; Poales; Poaceae
Description: eukaryotic LSU rRNA
Rfam family: 5.8S ribosomal RNA (bases 1-102)
Source: RNAcentral